AUUGAACGCUGGCGGCAUGCUUUACACAUGCAAGUCGAACGGCAGCGCGGGCUUUGGCUUGGCUGCGAGUGGGGAACGGGUGAGUAAUACAUCGGAACGUGCCCAGCAGGGGGGGAUAGCUCGGCGAAAGCCGGAUUAAUACUGCAGACGACCUGAGGGUGAAAGCGGGGGAGCUUCGGACCUCGCGCGAUUGGAGGGGCCGAUGGCAGAUUAGCUAGUUGGUGGGUUAAAGGCCUACCAAGGCGACGAUCGGUAGCUGGUCUGAGAGGACGACCAGCCACACUGGAACUGAGACACGGCCCAGACUCCUACGGGAGGCAGCAGUGGGGAAUUUUGGACAAUGGGCGAAAGCCUGAUCCAGCAAUGCCGCGUGUGUGAUGAAGGCCUUCGGGUUGUAAAGCACUUUUGGCGGGAACGAAAAGGACUGUGCCAAUACCACGGUUCGAUGACGGUACCCGCAGAAUAAGCACCGGCUAACUACGUG
RNAcentral lists this ribosomal RNA (484 nucleotides) under uncultured bacterium. RNAcentral describes it as "partial 16S ribosomal RNA". It matches the Rfam family "Bacterial small subunit ribosomal RNA", at positions 29 to 507 of the family's 1533-position model. The record is from RNAcentral.